Molecule: non-coding RNA, 640 nt
Organism: Paramuricea clavata
Lineage: Eukaryota; Metazoa; Cnidaria; Anthozoa; Malacalcyonacea; Plexauridae
Source: the annotation of a GenBank genome assembly
AGAAUUUGCCUUAUUUGUGAAACACGGCGCGGCAUUCGUAUUUGUUAAUGCCACAGUAUGCGCGAAUCAAAAAUGUUGACUAAGGGACGGACCAUUUGAUUUUUGAUGGGGGGGGGUGGGUAGAAUCCCCAAAAAAAUAUCGGGCAAGCAAUUUGAACUUAAAAAAAAUAUCAUGCAAGAAUAAAUGGACGAAAAAAUAUAUCGAGCAAGACUUUCGAGUGGUAAUCCUUAUUUGCCAUUCGGUGCAUUUCCGUGUGUAGCCCAGGGACGUAUGUAGCAACCGGGGGGGGCUGCAGGGUCCAGGAAAUGGCAUUUCAGAGACUCUAAAUUUAAAAAUUUCCUCGGGCCUUCGGCCCUCGCUUUCAGCCCCCCAAUAAAAAAGAGCUUCCUACGGCCCUGUAGCCUAAAUUGAUGGGAGGACCAGUAUAAUUCCAAAAAUGGUUGUUCUUUAUUUUUUUACUCCGACUCCUAUGAUGAACAUGUACAUAAAAAACUAGGAAAACUACGAUCAAAUCACGGCCGUAGAAACUAAAAUAGGUGAAAUUUUUAUGGGACACGAUCAAAGGCGAGGAUAUAAGAGCGAGAGGUUGAAAUUGAGUAGGAAUAGCGUACAAGGGCAUGCGUUUCGACCUAACAGUUU